AAUCAACGCUGGCGGCGUGCCUAAUACAUGCAAGUCGAGCGAGAAGACGUAGCAAUACGUUUGUAAAGCGGCGAACGGGUGAGGAAUACAUGGGUAACCUACCCUCGAGUGGGGAAUAACUAGCCGAAAGGUUAGCUAAUACCGCGUACGCUCCUUGGACUUCGGUUCAGGGAGGAAAGCGAUACCGUGGGUAUCGCGCUCUUGGAUGGGCUCAUGUCCUAUCAGCUUGUUGGUGAGGUAACGGCUCGCCAAGGCUUCGACGGGUAGCUGGUCUGAGAGGACAAUCAGCCACACUGGCACUGCGACACGGGCCAGACUCCUACGGGAGGCAGCAGUAAGGAAUAUUGCGCAAUGGGCGAAAGCCUGACGCAGCGACGCCGCGUGGGGGAUGAAGGUCUUCGG
RNAcentral lists this ribosomal RNA (402 nucleotides) under uncultured bacterium. RNAcentral describes it as "bacterial SSU rRNA". It matches the Rfam family "Bacterial small subunit ribosomal RNA", at positions 32 to 421 of the family's 1533-position model. The record is from RNAcentral.